RNAcentral lists this transfer RNA (71 nucleotides) under Candida gigantensis. Its description in RNAcentral is "tRNA-Arg". It matches the Rfam family "tRNA". From Rfam's summary of the family: Transfer RNA (tRNA) molecules are approximately 80 nucleotides in length. Their secondary structure includes four short double-helical elements and three loops (D, anti-codon, and T loops). Further hydrogen bonds mediate the characteristic L-shaped molecular structure. tRNAs have two regions of fundamental functional importance: the anti-codon, which is responsible for specific mRNA codon recognition, and the 3' end, to which the tRNAs corresponding amino acid is attached (by aminoacyl-tRNA synthetases). tRNAs cope with the degeneracy of the genetic code in two manners: having more than one tRNA (with a specific anti-codon) for a particular amino acid; and 'wobble' base-pairing, i.e. permitting non-standard base-pairing at the 3rd anti-codon position. The record is from RNAcentral. Lineage: Eukaryota; Fungi; Ascomycota; Pichiomycetes; Serinales; Debaryomycetaceae.
UACCCUAUAGUUCAAGGGUAGAACAGCACCCUUCUAAGGUGCCUAUGUAGGUUCGACUCCUGCUAGGGUAU